RNAcentral lists this ribosomal RNA (2906 nucleotides) under Escherichia coli. RNAcentral describes it as "23S ribosomal RNA". It matches the Rfam family "Bacterial large subunit ribosomal RNA". Lineage: Bacteria; Pseudomonadati; Pseudomonadota; Gammaproteobacteria; Enterobacterales; Enterobacteriaceae. The record is from RNAcentral.
GGUUAAGCGACUAAGCGUACACGGUGGAUGCCCAGGCAGUCAGAGGCGAUGAAGGACGUGCUAAUCUGCGAUAAGCGUCGGUAAGGUGAUAUGAACCGUUAUAACCGGCGAUUUCCGAAUGGGGAAACCCAGUGUGUUUCGACACACUAUCAUUAACUGAAUCCAUAGGUUAAUGAGGCGAACCGGGGGAACUGAAACAUCUAAGUACCCCGAGGAAAAGAAAUCAACCGAGAUUCCCCCAGUAGCGGCGAGCGAACGGGGAGCAGCCCAGAGCCUGAAUCAGUGUGUGUGUUAGUGGAAGCGUCUGGAAAGGCGCGCGAUACAGGGUGACAGCCCCGUACACAAAAAUGCACAUGCUGUGAGCUCGAUGAGUAGGGCGGGACACGUGGUAUCCUGUCUGAAUAUGGGGGGACCAUCCUCCAAGGCUAAAUACUCCUGACUGACCGAUAGUGAACCAGUACCGUGAGGGAAAGGCGAAAAGAACCCCGGCGAGGGGAGUGAAAAAGAACCUGAAACCGUGUACGUACAAGCAGUGGGAGCACGCUUAGGCGUGUGACUGCGUACCUUUUGUAUAAUGGGUCAGCGACUUAUAUUCUGUAGCAAGGUUAACCGAAUAGGGGAGCCGAAGGGAAACCGAGUCUUAACUGGGCGUUAAGUUGCAGGGUAUAGACCCGAAACCCGGUGAUCUAGCCAUGGGCAGGUUGAAGGUUGGGUAACACUAACUGGAGGACCGAACCGACUAAUGUUGAAAAAUUAGCGGAUGACUUGUGGCUGGGGGUGAAAGGCCAAUCAAACCGGGAGAUAGCUGGUUCUCCCCGAAAGCUAUUUAGGUAGCGCCUCGUGAAUUCAUCUCCGGGGGUAGAGCACUGUUUCGGCAAGGGGGUCAUCCCGACUUACCAACCCGAUGCAAACUGCGAAUACCGGAGAAUGUUAUCACGGGAGACACACGGCGGGUGCUAACGUCCGUCGUGAAGAGGGAAACAACCCAGACCGCCAGCUAAGGUCCCAAAGUCAUGGUUAAGUGGGAAACGAUGUGGGAAGGCCCAGACAGCCAGGAUGUUGGCUUAGAAGCAGCCAUCAUUUAAAGAAAGCGUAAUAGCUCACUGGUCGAGUCGGCCUGCGCGGAAGAUGUAACGGGGCUAAACCAUGCACCGAAGCUGCGGCAGCGACGCUGAUGCGUUGUUGGGUAGGGGAGCGUUCUGUAAGCCUGUGAAGGUGUGCUGUGAGGCAUGCUGGAGGUAUCAGAAGUGCGAAUGCUGACAUAAGUAACGAUAAAGCGGGUGAAAAGCCCGCUCGCCGGAAGACCAAGGGUUCCUGUCCAACGUUAAUCGGGGCAGGGUGAGUCGACCCCUAAGGCGAGGCCGAAAGGCGUAGUCGAUGGGAAACAGGUUAAUAUUCCUGUACUUGGUGUUACUGCGAAGGGGGGACGGAGAAGGCUAUGUUGGCCGGGCGACGGUUGUCCCGGUUUAAGCGUGUAGGCUGGUUUUCCAGGCAAAUCCGGAAAAUCAAGGCUGAGGCGUGAUGACGAGGCACUACGGUGCUGAAGCAACAAAUGCCCUGCUUCCAGGAAAAGCCUCUAAGCAUCAGGUAACAUCAAAUCGUACCCCAAACCGACACAGGUGGUCAGGUAGAGAAUACCAAGGCGCUUGAGAGAACUCGGGUGAAGGAACUAGGCAAAAUGGUGCCGUAACUUCGGGAGAAGGCACGCUGAUAUGUAGGUGAAGUCCCUCGCGGAUGGAGCUGAAAUCAGUCGAAGAUACCAGCUGGCUGCAACUGUUUAUUAAAAACACAGCACUGUGCAAACACGAAAGUGGACGUAUACGGUGUGACGCCUGCCCGGUGCCGGAAGGUUAAUUGAUGGGGUUAGCCGCAAGGCGAAGCUCUUGAUCGAAGCCCCGGUAAACGGCGGCCGUAACUAUAACGGUCCUAAGGUAGCGAAAUUCCUUGUCGGGUAAGUUCCGACCUGCACGAAUGGCGUAAUGAUGGCCAGGCUGUCUCCACCCGAGACUCAGUGAAAUUGAACUCGCUGUGAAGAUGCAGUGUACCCGCGGCAAGACGGAAAGACCCCGUGAACCUUUACUAUAGCUUGACACUGAACAUUGAGCCUUGAUGUGUAGGAUAGGUGGGAGGCUUAGAAGUGUGGACGCCAGUCUGCAUGGAGCCGACCUUGAAAUACCACCCUUUAAUGUUUGAUGUUCUAACGUUGACCCGUAAUCCGGGUUGCGGACAGUGUCUGGUGGGUAGUUUGACUGGGGCGGUCUCCUCCUAAAGAGUAACGGAGGAGCACGAAGGUUGGCUAAUCCUGGUCGGACAUCAGGAGGUUAGUGCAAUGGCAUAAGCCAGCUUGACUGCGAGCGUGACGGCGCGAGCAGGUGCGAAAGCAGGUCAUAGUGAUCCGGUGGUUCUGAAUGGAAGGGCCAUCGCUCAACGGAUAAAAGGUACUCCGGGGAUAACAGGCUGAUACCGCCCAAGAGUUCAUAUCGACGGCGGUGUUUGGCACCUCGAUGUCGGCUCAUCACAUCCUGGGGCUGAAGUAGGUCCCAAGGGUAUGGCUGUUCGCCAUUUAAAGUGGUACGCGAGCUGGGUUUAGAACGUCGUGAGACAGUUCGGUCCCUAUCUGCCGUGGGCGCUGGAGAACUGAGGGGGGCUGCUCCUAGUACGAGAGGACCGGAGUGGACGCAUCACUGGUGUUCGGGUUGUCAUGCCAAUGGCACUGCCCGGUAGCUAAAUGCGGAAGAGAUAAGUGCUGAAAGCAUCUAAGCACGAAACUUGCCCCGAGAUGAGUUCUCCCUGACUCCUUGAGAGUCCUGAAGGAACGUUGAAGACGACGACGUUGAUAGGCCGGGUGUGUAAGCGCAGCGAUGCGUUGAGCUAACCGGUACUAAUGAACCGUGAGGCUUAACCUU